AAAUUGUUCUUGAGAUUGAAUCAAUAAUUGAAGAUGAAAGUUACAAAGUCUACAUUUAACAUAAGACACAACUACUUUUUUCAUUAGAAAUGUCUACCAUUUGAAUGAGCAAAAUCAUAUAAAAGUAGACUUUUUGGAAAUUCGUUCCCGAGAUUGUUCUUCAAAGUUGGAUCAAGUACUCUAAGAUGCAAAGUCUACUAUUAACAUGAGUUAGGUCUACUAAUAACAUGAGCUAACUGACAUGUAAAAGUAGACUUUCUGAAGGUUACUAUUUAUGGAAAUCAACUAUAAAAGGAAGGGUAAGUUUCCAUUUUAGGGGGAUAGUUAUGCUCUAAAAACGAAAGUUACUAUUUAUGGAAAUCAACUAUAAAAGGAAUGGUAAGUUUCUAUUUUGGGGGGAUAGUUAUGCUUUAAAAACGAAAGUUACUAUUUAUGGAAAUCUACUAUAAAAGGAAUGGUAAGUUUCCAUUUCGGGGGGAUUCCUUUUCUGAAAAUUCAACACUAAUUGUCACAUGUCGUGACCUCAUUCGACCUACGUCACUAAUCUGUCCAUGUCAUUAAAGUUUUUCUUUUUUUCCACAUUUCAAAACUUUAAAAAUGCAUAGAAAAUAGCUCUAGUGUCGGAAAAAUUCACCAAAAAAUGUCACUGACCACUGGUGAGACCCACUUCACAACUGCAUCUGAAUUUUAGUCAUCGGAAUCACAACGUACCUACUAAUGUGGUAUAACUUGUUUGGUAGGUUAUAUGCUAGUGUACAACUUUGUGAAUCAACUAUAUAGAGGAAGCAAAAUUUUCAAAAAUCUUGUGAAAUAGGAUGUUAUCGGUAUAGUAAAAUAUGACUACGCUAGAAAAAUCAUUUUAAUUCGCUUAUGUUUGGGCCCCGAUCGAAGCGGUCAACCCUAUUUACGUGUAUGCUUCACUAAGGAGAGCCCUAUCCUCGGGUGGUAAAUGUCCCCAAAGUUUUACAUGGGUGGUUAUGUCUCAUCUAUGUGCGACUUUAUUGUGUUGAAGAAUUCACCAAACUAGGUCACAAAGAGGCAGGUAAGAUAGUUUUCGUGUGAUAAGUGAAGAUGAAUUAGGGUUGACCGCUUUGAUCGAGCCCCGAACAUUGUUGAAUCCAGUUGAAUUUUAUACCAUAGUCAUGUUUCACUAUAAUGAUCACAUCAGACGGUCAAUUUUCAUUUUGUGAAUUUUAGUCAUCAGAAUCAUAACGUGCCUACUAAAGCAGUAUAAUCAGACGGUCAAUUUUCAUUUUGUGAAUUUUAGUCAUCAGAAUCAUAACGUGCCUACUAAAGCAGUAUAACUUGUUUGGUAGGUUAUAUGCUAGUGUACAACUUUGUGAACCAACUAUAUAGAGGAAGCAAAAUUUUCAAAAAUCUCGUGAAAUAGGAUGUGAUCAGUAUAGUAAAAUACGGCUACGAUAGAAAAAUUACAUUAAUUCACCCAUGUUUGGGCCCCGAUCGAAGCGGUCAACCCUAUUUACGUGUAUGCUUCACUAAGGAGAGCCCUAUCCUCGGGUGGUAAACGUCCCCAAAGUUUUACAUGGGUGGUUAUGUCUCAUCUAUGUGAGACUUUAUUGUAUUGAAGAAUCCACCAAACUAGGUCAUGAAGAGGUAGGUAAGAUAAUUUUUGUGUGGUAAGUGAAGAUGAAUUAGAGUUGACCGCUUUGAUCGAGCCCCGAACAUUAUUGAAUCCAGUUGAAUUUUAUACCAUAGUCAUGUUUCACUCUAAUGAUCACAUCAGACGGUCAAUUUUCAAUUUAUGAAUUUUAGUCAUCGGAAUCAUAACGUGCUUACUAAAAUAGUAUAACUUGUUUGGUAGGUUAUAUGCUAGUGUACAACUUUAUGAACCAACUACAUAGAGGAAGCAAAAUUUUCAAAAAUCUCAUGAAAUAUGAUGUCAUCGAUAUAGUAAAAUACAGCUACGGUAGGAAAAUCACUUUAAUUCGCCAAUGUUUGGGCCCCGAUCGAAGCGGUCAACCUUGUUUACGCUUAUGCUUCACUAAGGAGAGCCCUAUCCUCGGGUGGUAAACAUCCCCAAAGUUUUACAUGGGUGGUUAUGUCUCAUCUAUAUGACACUUUAUUGUGUUGAAGAAUCGACCAAACUAGGUCAUAAAGUGGUAGGUAAGAUAGUUUUCGUGUGAUAAGUGAAGAUGAAUUAAGGAUGACCGUUUUGAUCGAGCCCCAAACAUUGUUGAAUCUAGUUGAAUUUUAUACCAUAGCCAUGUUUCACUAUAAUGAUCACAUCAGACGGUCUAAUUUU
Molecule: long non-coding RNA, 2263 nt
Filed under: Fragaria vesca (wild strawberry)
Lineage: Eukaryota; Viridiplantae; Streptophyta; Magnoliopsida; Rosales; Rosaceae
Description: long non-coding RNA (FVES_LNC005008)
Source: RNAcentral